Molecule: small RNA, 461 nt
Filed under: Oryza sativa Japonica Group (Japanese rice)
Lineage: Eukaryota; Viridiplantae; Streptophyta; Magnoliopsida; Poales; Poaceae
Description: sRNA Os07g0607000
Source: RNAcentral
CGGCUUCGCCUUGUCGCCGGCGGCGUCCUUGCCGCCCUUGUUCUCCUUGCCCUUGACCUGCAUGUCCUUGAUGAUCCUGCCGGCCUUGCAGCACAGCUUCUUGCACACCUUGUCGGCGUCGAACGGCCCCGACACCAUCACCGCAUUGUUCUUCUCGUCGUACGAGAUCGUCUUGAUGUUCGCCUUAUCUGCACAACACCACAGAUCAUCCAUGAAAACCAUCAGCCAUUAGCCAUGAUGAACACGCUUUUGCAUUGGUGACUGUGGCGAUGAAUUGAUGAUGCGAAUGCGAUAUGAAACCAUAUGAUAGUGUACUAGCUUCUACCUUGGAUCCUGCAAAGGACUCUUCUGAUCUUCUUGUAGCAUCGAUCGCAUUCGAGGUCAACGUUGAGCACAACCGUGGAGAUCUGCAGCGAUGUGAUCGAGGGAUUAAAAGAUAGGUAAAUGCUGUACUAAUGGAG